GUGAGGAAUAUUGGUCAAUGGGCUCAAGCCUGAUCCAGCAAUGCCGCGUGCAGGAAGAAGGCCUUCGGGUUGUAAACUGCUUUUGUACGGAACGAAACGGUCCGGGUUAAUACCCUGGGCUAAUGACGGUACCGUAAGAAUAAGCACCGGCUAACUACGUGCCAGCAGCCGCGGUAAUACGUAGGGUGCAAGCGUUAAUCGGAAUUACUGGGCGUAAAGCGUGCGCAGGCGGUUUUGUAAGACAGGCGUGAAAUCCCCGGGCUCAACCUGGGAAUUGCGCUUGUGACUGCACGGCUGGAGUGCGGCAGAGGGGGAUGGAAUUCCGCGUGUAGCAGUGAAAUGCGUAGAUAUGCGGAGGAACACCGAUGGCGAAGGCAAUCCCCUGGGCCUGCACUGACGCUCAUGCACGAAAGCGUGGGGAGCAAACAGGAUUAGAUACCCGAGUAGUCC
Molecule: ribosomal RNA, 450 nt
Filed under: uncultured bacterium
Lineage: Bacteria
Description: partial 16S ribosomal RNA
Rfam family: Bacterial small subunit ribosomal RNA
Source: RNAcentral